RNAcentral lists this ribosomal RNA (450 nucleotides) under uncultured bacterium. RNAcentral's name for it is "bacterial SSU rRNA". It matches the Rfam family "Bacterial small subunit ribosomal RNA", at positions 354 to 796 of the family's 1533-position model. The record is from RNAcentral.
GUGGGGAAUAUUGGACAAUGGGCGCAAGCCUGAUCCAGCCAUGUCGCGUGUGUGAAGAAGGCCUUCGGGUUGUAAAGCACUUUUGUCCGGGAAGAAAUCUUCCAGGUUAAUACCCUGGGAGGCUGACGGUACCGGAAGAAUAAGCACCGGCUAACUUCGUGCCAGCAGCCGCGGUAAUACGAAGGGUGCAAGCGUUACUCGGAAUUACUGGGCGUAAAGCGUGCGUAGGUGGUUCGUUAAGUCUGCCGUGAAAGCCCCGGGCUCAACCUGGGAAUGGCGGUGGAUACUGGCGGGCUAGAGUGCGGGAGAGGGUGGUGGAAUUCCCGGUGUAGCAGUGAAAUGCGUAGAGAUCGGGAGGAACAUCUGUGGCGAAGGCGGCCACCUGGACCAGCACUGACACUGAGGCACGAAAGCGUGGGGAGCAAACAGGAUUAGAAACCCUGGUAGUCC